AUGCAGAAGAAAUUGAAGGGGGUGGGGGAGAAGGGAUGGGAGAAAAGAGGAAGUUGGCUACUUCAUUUUCUACUUAAAAUUUCAGUGCAGUUCCAUAGCAACAACGCCGGUUUGCACCAAGAUUUGAAAGUCUCAUUAUCUCACACAGAAGGAAAUCAUGCUAACAGGGUGACAAGAUCUAAGAUCAUAUUUUUUCAAGUUUCCAGAACGCAAGACUAUUUAGCAUAUGGAAUUGGUUCCUUUCCAACUUCAGCUGUUCUACAGUUCAGGAAAACAUCAUAAGUGAAAAUAAAGACUUUCGUCCUUGGAACUGAAGAUCCUCUCCCUAGAAAGCAAUGGAAAAAAUCCCGUCUGUCACCCCAGAGCAAACCACCUAUUAUUAUCUUAAUCCCAUUUUACUGAUAAGAAAACUCAGUGAAGUNNNNNNNNNNNNNNNNNNNNNNNNNNNNNNNNNNNNNNNNNNNNNNNNNNNNNNNNNNNNNNNNNNNNNNNNNNNNNNNNNNNNNNNNNNNNNNNNNNNUUAUCUUAAUCCCAUUUUACUGAUAAGAAAACUCAGUGAAGUUAAAAAAAAUAUAAAAGAAAAAUAGAGUAGGGAUGGUUAGAUCUCCGUAAGUUUUCACUAAAAAAUAACCCCUUUUAUACAUAAAUGUAUGAUUCAAUUUACAGAAAUUCAACUGAUCAGUUUUUGCUUCCUAUGAAUAAGGAUUCUUUAAUGCAAACUGCCUCACAAUUUUUAGGUUUCUUUAUCACUAGUUCCCUGGGAAACAGAAAUUUACAUUGGUUGCUAAGUCAACUUUUCAGAUAGCCCUUAAGAUCUCUUUAAAGGGUAACCCACCCUUUGGGCUUCUGAAUAAAACUCCAGCCGUUUGUUGGGAGUCUGAAGCUUCCUGGCUCUUUGGGCUCUGCUUCAGCCCUACCCUGCACUCUGUAACUGAGGUCCUCGGGACAAAACCGGCGGAAGGGAAAAAAAUGCAACAACUCCCUGGAAGGGUGCUCAAGAAGACUUUGGGCUGCAAACUCCACACCACUAAGCUUCAUCUCUGCAGUCUCAUCGUUUACUAUUAUUUCCUCUUGACUCUGCUUGUGUUACCAGCAUGCAAAGCCCAUCACUUUAAAAUCUGGGUCCUCCAACUUCACUGGACUGCUCGCUCUCACUUCUGCUUUGAGGAGUUUUAAUAAAGGCCUUUUCAUGUUUAUUUCUCAGGCCUUCCCCAAAUACAAAACUGUCAGUGUCCCCUGCCCCUUCCAAGUCCAAGAUAUCAACUUCAAACCUUCGUAGCAACUAAGUGAGCGUUUGUUAAGAACUUGAGUGAAUUUAUGGCAGCCCAGGCCUGUGUUUGGGAGACUGCAAACUCCAAAGCAAAACCGCUGAAUUUAUGUUCUCUUGAGACGGUAAAACCACAAACACAAGCAGGGCAAAGAACCCACCAUCCUCUCCAGCUUUCCUUCCACAUCUUGGUUCAGUAGUAAGACAAGUGAGUCCACUCCCUCAGGCAAGUGCAGCCUCCUCACGGUCAGGCUCACCUAAAACAUCCGCUGCAUCAUCGCAUCCAAGCCCAACUCCGUUACUGAGGCAACCGGCUUUUUCUUCCCCCAGGGUCACAGAGAAGCACACCCCUCGGGAUCCCCUGGUAACCGUCCACCGGCAAUGCCGGGGAACCACAACAGCGAAAGACUCGCUUUCCAAGGCUGCCGCGGCCCGCAAGGGGUGGGGGGGGGGGNACGGUGCGUGGGGGUGCGCAGCGUCCAGUUACAUUCCUGACCCACUUUCGCAUCCCUCCCUCCCUCUCCCCUCCCUCCUCCUCCCCGGCAGGCCGCGAGGGCACCGGCGCGCCGGAGAGCCACCCUGGAGCAGCAAUCCUUAGGCCACCGGCGGCGGGGGCACCCGCAGUCGGGCUCUGCAGGGGACCGGGAGGAAGGGAGAGGGGAGAGGGGGUGGGGGGGGAGGGUGCCUGCCUACCCCCGCACCCCACCCCCACCNNNNNNNCCCCUGCGCGGCCCCUCCCCCGUCACAUGGGCUCCAGAGCACCUGUUGGCGACCUCAGCCCCUAGCGGAGCCCCUCCCGCCGGCCCGGGCAACUCCCCCGCCCGCACCCCCACCCCCAGCGGGAAGGGAUAGGAACGCUGCCCGGUUCUAGCUCUGCCAAACCCGCUUCGCCCCAGGAGGGCGUGGGGGGCCGUUGGGCGACCCCUGCCCAGCUGCUCAGCUUUGCAAAGUGCAAAAGCGCGCUGGCCCGGCGCAGCGAUCUGCAGGAGGGGCUCCUGCCCGCCCCCGACCCCCCUCCACGUGCCCCUCUCUCCCGGGCGGAGCGGCGAGAUGGGGUGCCCCCGCCCCCUGCCCGACUCCACUGGAAACCUGGGCUCCGCGCGGGCGCGG
Molecule: long non-coding RNA, 2377 nt
Filed under: Capra hircus (goat)
Lineage: Eukaryota; Metazoa; Chordata; Mammalia; Artiodactyla; Bovidae
Description: lncRNA (ENSCHIG00010030107.1)
Source: RNAcentral